Molecule: ribosomal RNA, 252 nt
Filed under: uncultured bacterium
Lineage: Bacteria
Description: partial 16S ribosomal RNA
Rfam family: Bacterial small subunit ribosomal RNA
Source: RNAcentral
UACGGAGGAUGCGAGCGUUAUCCGGAUUUAUUGGGUUUAAAGGGUGCGUAGGCGGUCCGUUAAGUCAGCGGUAAAAUUGCGGGGCUCAACCCCGUCGAGCCGUUGAAACUGUCAGACUUGAGUUGGCGAGAAGUACGCUGAAUGCGCGGUGUAGCGGUGAAAUGCAUAGAUAUCGCGCAGAACUCCGAUUGCGAAGGCAGCGUACCGGCGCGCAACUGACGCUCAUGCACGAAAGCGUGGGUAUCGAACAGG